UUUUUUUUUUUUUUUUUUGUUAUUUAUCUUACUUUUAUAGUGUGUGUGUAUAUAUAUAUAUAUAUAUCCAAAUAGAUACAUAAAAGAAAUUUGGGGCUAGUAAAUCAGAGGUCCUAGGCAGUCGCCUUACUCAGCUUCCCUCAAGGCUAGCCCUAUGUCACUAUAAGAGCAUUUCCAACUGUUGCUUAUAAGCAAGGGCAAAGGCAAUGCAAUUGCCCAAAACACCUCCAACAGGACAAUAAAAGAAAUAAAGGCAAGUGGUGGACCAAGCCAUGCUAGCCCAAAUGCCCAUGUAAGUUAAGCAUUGCCUUCCUCAACAGGCAUGGCUGACUCAGCCACGGUCUUUACGUUUUUUCCAAUUUGUAACACAUGUCCAAAAUCAGGGUGUGAGCCAACAAAACCUGCAAUAGUAGGCCUUGUUGCAACACUAAUUGAAGAGCCUAACGGCUCUAUGACGUGGCACGAUGAGAGCCGUUGGAUUUCCAACAACCUGAUGAUCUGGACUAUUGGAUUUUCAAUGGUAAAGAAUUUAAAAAGUUAUCGAUGCACCAUGUUGCACGUUCUAGUGCGUCAGAUUCAACAAUAAAAAAAAUCAAACGGUCAGGAGUAAUUUGAUUGUUAAAAAUGGAAGGAAAAAAAGAAGAAGAUGGCGAUGCAACAAAUACGGAAGAAGAUUCAUACACAAUUUGUCGAGCUGAUUCAACGCAUAUCCAGGUCUGAGCUAUCUCUAUUGAGUAUAUGCAAACAUCUAAGUAAGUCAACAUAGAGAGUUAAAAUCUGGGCAAGAAGCCCUCACAAAAGCAUAAUCUAUUUAUCAAAAUGGCAAUAAUAUAGCCAAUAAGGUAAUAACAUUUUAUUAUUAAUAAAUUUCAAAUGUGAUUAACAUGUUAUUAUUUGGACCAUCAGGUAAUUAAAAGUAAUCAUUGAUUAUGUAAUUUAUAAUGUUGUUUCAUAAUUCUUUGCUUUGCAUUUGAAAUUAAAUUAUUAGAGUUAAACAUGGAGUUUUACUUUCAAAGAACAAACUUACAAAGUGCACACUUAAACACUUACAAGGCAUAUAUAAAUAAAUAAUAUAUAUUUGUGAAUAAUAAUCGCCCUUAUCUGCGACAACUCGUCCUUAAUUUUAAGUUUUAUAAAUUUUAAAAUAGUGAUUUUAUGAAAAUGCCCUUAGAGGCAAGGAUGUUUGACUUUCGUUGACCAUUCGAAGUCACAAUUAAUGUUUCCGAAUAGAUUUUGAAGCUACGAACGCAUAGGCAAAAGCCGUUUGCGAGUUCGGAUUAUAACAGUAUAGUUACGGACAUUUGAAGUCGUUUCAUUAAACAAUAGAUUUAAAGGAAUAUAAACUCCCACCUUGUGGGAAAGAGGCCAUUCAGGCUAAAGGGAAGGAACCAAUCAGUUAAAUGGUGGAGGACCAAUCAGAAUUUAGGGGGGAGUGAGCAACCAAUCAAAGAGAAGGAGGAAAAAAAAGAAAAGAAAUGAAGCUUUCCUUCUCGACGACUUGUGCACCUGCACAGGGCUCAACCAAUUCCGCCAACUUUCGCCAUUUUCCCCAUCAAACCGCCAUCAUCCAACACCUGCAAUCCUUUCCACAACCUCCCCUCUACCAUCUCCACCCAAAUUCGAAGGUUUUUAAGUCCAAAACCGUGUAGAACCUCACCGGAGCACCGGAGGUGCUUGACGGUGAUUCCUCCGAUCCAGUGAGUUUCACCACCCACCACUACCCUUAAUCAACUCCCCUUAGACCCAGGAAUAAGAUCCAACCAGUGAUAGGGGCGUUGGAACACCGGCAAAGUCGAAUCGAUGAACACCUAUUAUAGGGUUUCAGACGGGUUCGUGGCGAUUUGAGGUUUUUUCGGCCAAAUUGGACUUGGCCACAUAUAUAAAACUUGCUCUACUCAUUGAGAUCUUCAUUUAAUUGAAAUUUGAGAAUUUUUAGAAAUAGUUUAUUUUUCCGGCGAGUUGGGACGGUCGACUGUCGUUUGCAGCGGCAUGUGGGCCGAGGCACCCCCUAACCUUCCUAAGCUAAGUUUGAUACCCCAAUUCCAUAUGUGAAGUCAGAUUGAUGAAAUCUCAUCGUUUGAACAUAGUUUUGAUAGAGACCGCUACUUGAUCCUUGUAUGAAUUGACGAACCGACCGUUGGAUCAUCACCAAAAUUUAAUAUAUUAUAGUAUGUAAUAUUUUAGGAUAUUAGAAACUUACGGAUUGGGAAUCCAACUUAUGGAUCUUCCUAAAAUGGAUUUGUAAGUUCGUAAAAUAAAACGUUGACCGCCACUUGAAUUUGCAAUUGGUGGAGAUCCAACCAUUGGAUCGUAAUGAAACUUUAGUAUGAUGUUCUAGAAGCAUAAUGUGGAUCUUUUGAAGUUACGGAUCAAAAAUCUAAGUUGCGGAUCUUCCGGAUUGAGUUACGUAGGAUUAUGGACCCUACCGCCAACCUUUGACCGAUGAUUGAAUUUUGGUCAAUGGGUUUCAAAUCAUUCUAGAACGUCCUUAGGGGAUGUGUUUUAUGUAAGUUACGUGUUCUAUCGAUAAGAAUUCUAAGACGUUAUUUGAUAUUUAUUCUAGGCGACGAUUGUUCGUGAUGCCUCGAUAUUCGUGCUAGGGAGUUGUAGCCCGGACCUCAGGUGAGUGGGUCUUUUUCUUUUUAUAGUGUAUAGAUAGAUAUAUAUAUAUAUACACACACACACACACACACAUAUAUAUAUAUAUGGUUGAUAGUUUCCACAAAUGAUUUUGAAUUGAUUUAUGCAUAUCAUGCUAUGAUUAAAUAUUGUUAUUAAAAACUUUGCAUUGUUAUGAAAUUGUGAAAUGCCAAACGAUCCUACGGGAUGCGCAGGUUUGAUCAGGUGAGUUUAAUUUGUGAUUGGAAUUGUUGCACCAUAUUGGCAUGCAUAAAUUCAUUUAGUGCUCAUCAUUGUUGCACCCCAGUGUUAGUCAUCCUGUCCUGGGCCAGGGCACAGCCUUCACGUGUAUGUUCACCUCCCGCAUCGCACACUUACCUUGGAUCCAAGUAGGUGCUAGCCUAUCGUAUAGACUCGAUUAGGCAGUUUGAUGCGAAAAUUAACUUAACACACAAAUUAAACCCUCUUGUUGUCAAAUUGUAGUAAUAAUGCAAGUAUGGAUCGUUCUAAACCGAGGAUUAUGAGGGCUUGCUAAAACCUCUAAACUAACUCAAAAACAUAAAAACAAAGUUAAAAACAUUUGAAUAGACUUAAAGAACUCAAAACAGGUUCACAAGACUCAAAAUAAUUUAAAGACACUCGAAACUGCCUAAAAACACAAACUAGGCAGUUUCUGACUCUAACACAACUUUGGACGAAAUUUGGGUUUUGACUUGACUCAGAACACUCUAAAACACAAACAAAACAUAUUUUAAACACUUUGAAACAAGAAAGUAAAAGGGGGAUUUAGUUUUGAUGAAUUUGAAACAAAUAAACAAGUUAUAAAACUAGGCAGAUUGUAAAACGAAUUUAAGAAAUAAGAUAAUGGAUGGAUUAGUUAGAGGUCCGUUCUUCACACAUGACACACUUGUAUAUGAAUUGAUUUCCAAUUGCUUUUCAAUAAACUAUGAUGCUCAACACCCCAGAUUAAUUAGAUACGCUUAAAUUAAUCCUCAGAUUUUCCUAAUUUCAUUGAAUUGGAUGAUUGCAUACAACAACCCAAAGCAUUCCCCACAAGUUCCCUACAUGAAUUGCAUAAUAGAGAUACAAGCAAGAAUCAUUAAGUUCUAUGAAAAUCAUAAGCAUUGACGAAACACUUGUAACUAUGAAUUGCAUGAAACUUAUGCCAAGAAUUCAAUUAACGCGAUUGUGAUAAACAACCUUCACUACUCAUGAAUAUAAACUUGUAACGAUUAGGUGAAACUCAUUUAUAUUCUAGCAUCUAAUUCAUGCAUGAAAACUAAGUAUGCAUGAAAACUAAGUAUGCAUCCUUAAAUAACAUACAAGAAUCAGUUAUGAAUAAAAUAGAUAAUUGAAUUGCAAUCACAACUUAUCAAAUCACAAUUGGAAGAAAUCAAUUUAAAUCUCAAGCAUGUUCAUGGCUUCAAACUUCCCCCUAACUAAAUAGUGGUUUAGCCACUCAUAAUUGCAACAAAAUUAGAAAAUAACAAAGUAGACAUUGAAAGCAAGAACGAAGUACACCUAAAACGCUCCAAAGUUCCAAGCUUGAAACGCCAAGGGCCUUUGUUUUCACCACCUUGUUGUAGCAUAAGUGUCUAGGAUGUGUAUGGAUAUAUGGAUAGAAUGGAUUUGCAUGACAUAGAAAAUGGAAAUGUAUGGAGAUGUGUUUGAAUGUAUGGAUGAAAUGGAAUGGAGCUCAAGGCAAGGGACUUGUGUUUGUGAAUGAAGCUCUUUUGAUGGAUCAAGAUUGUCGUUCUUUGGAAGGGGGGUGGUGGAUGUAUUUAUAGGCUAGGGAGAGGACCACUCCAUUUCCUUUGCAUGUGCAGAUUGCAUGGGUGUGUGCUGUCCAUGUUUCUCCUUUCCUUUUCCACCCAUUUUCUGAACCUUUCAGUGUUACAAUGCCCAUAACCUCUUCUAGAAAAAUGAUAUUAACAAUCCGUAAAUUGUUCUAGAAAAUAGACAUCCGUAGCUUUCCAGGCAUAUAAGGCUCAUUCUCUCAUUCAUUAUACGAUGUUCGUAACAUGCUUUCAAAGUCAGCUAAUCUGCACAGGCAGUUUUGACGAAUUUGUUGGCUGUCCAUGUUUCUCCUUUCCUUUGCAUGUGGUUGUGUCUUCUCUUUCUAGCUGUGCAUUUCCACUUGAUCCAAAGCCAAAUGAGUGCAAUCAUAACCCCAUUUGCUGCUGAGUGUUGAUGACAAAGCAAAACACAAAACAAGUGCCUUUACUUUCUCAUUUUAUUAGCCAAAUCCGCUUAGCCCUUUUCUAAACCUUUAAGUGUUACAAUGCCCAUAACUUCUUCUAGAAAAAUGAUAUUAACAAUCCGUAAAUUUCUCCAGAAAAUAGACAUCCGUAGCUUUCCAGCCAUAUAAGGAUCAUUUUCUCAUUCAUUAUGAGAUGUUCGUAACAUGCUUCCAAAGUCAGCUAAUCUGCACAGGCAGUUUUGACGAAUUUGUUGGUUGUCCAUGUUUCUUCUUUCCUUUUGCACACACAUGCUUCAUCAUUUCAGCCAAAUCAACACAUGUUCUCCAUCACAUGGCAGCUAUGAUGUUUGUUAGUUGUAGGUCACACACUUGCACACACAUAUGUUGAAUUCUAAUCUUCCCAAAACGUCCAUCCUCAUGUCUCCAAGUGCAUGCAAUCCAUUUCAGCCCAAAAUUGCUCCAAAAUGCACCAAAAUGCACUUUUCUUGCCAACUUUGUUAUUAGGACCUAACAACAUACGAAAAUGGCUUAAAACACUCUUAUAAGCAAUAACUAACUAAGUAAGUGCAAGAAAACAUGUUAACUAAGUCGCAUAAAUAUGCUCCUAUCACAGUUCCGACUCAUAGAUGACCCACGAUUUAUCGCUAGCCAUCACGUGAUCAUAGGACUAAAGCGUAUAUAUUUACACCCAGCUUGUCGUACAGGUCACACUAGGUGACUCCGACUCGUGUGCUAGCAUAGACUGAUGAGCAAUAGGUCCAUUCAUACAUGUCACAUUAGGUGACUCCAACUGGCACGCUAGUUGAUUAUUCACACCUGACUUACAUUUAUUUUUAUUGAGAUAUUGUGACAUGGCAUGCUUUUGUUGUCACUGCUUUUAUGCAUUGGUUCUUUAUGUUUACGUAGUGUUAUUUUCUGGAAACUAUACAUGUUUUACGGCAAGGGGUUAUAAUGUUUUCAUUGAAACUUUAUUUUUAGGCCCACUCAUCCUUGUUUUUCAUCCCUCCAGGUUUUAGCAGCAGAACUUUGUAUCGACGAGGAUUCUUGGCAAUUCUCAAUAUAGGUGGCUACCUUUGAGGGUAUAAUCAUUAUCCUAUCUUACUGUAUUUCACUUAUGCUCUGACAUCACGUGUGAAAUGGGUUCAUUCUCGCUCAUCGCGCACUCUUGUAUUUAGGCACUUUUAGGUUUAAAUUUAUUCACAUUUUCCAUCACACUACACUUUAUAACUUCGUCACCUUCCAGGUGUCGGCCAGCACAACAUGAUUUGGAGUCCAAGUAGACAUUCCGGAUCGAGGUGUGUCAUUAUCCUUGUUGAUCUAGUGGAGUUACACAAUGACAAUUACUUUCCAAAAGGGCAAUUGCCUUACUCCAACGAGUGUAACUGCUCUAAAGUAUCUCAUUUAGCAUAAAGAAUUAUGAGUAAAUGGGCUUAAACUUUGGUGCUCUCAAGUAGUCCAAAGUCUCAAUUAAAGAGCUUUUCAUAGGGUUUAUAGAGAUUGGCAACCUUCCACAAAUCAACUCCUCUUAAAUCGUAUGUAUUGGUUCCAUAUGAACUUGGUUGGUGUAAGGUUUAAACAAACGUUUUCGAAUGAUUCAUGUCUAUGUAGCCAUUUGCAAUUCACCUCAAUCAUUUAAUCAUUUCAAAUUCCUCUAUUUAAUAUUGCACAAUGCAUUUCUAACUAAAGUAGCCUAAAUUCAUUGGUAUUUGAUAACCUUCAUUCAAAUACAAUAAUAAAUCUAGUAUUGUCUCUAGCAUUGGUUUUAGCCUUCGGGUCUUUCACGUGAGAAGCAGUUAUAUGAGACGGGUUCAUCAUUACAUGAUUUUUUUUUAUCUAAUAAUGUGUUGUUAUGUAAAAGUUUUUCUUUACAUGGCAACAUAUUAUUAUAUUGAGACAUCAUGUCAUGUAACAGUAAACUCAUUUCAUAUAAAUUGCUCAUUUUUUUUACUCCAUUAUCCUUUUUCGCUUGGGCACCAUAAAGAAGUCAUCCAAUGAUCGAUGAUCAUAAAAAUUAAUAAAAAGAUAAUCUUUAGAAUUAAAGUGGAAUUUGAAAUGGAAUCAAAUUUGAAUUGAGAUCCAAACCUUCGUAUUAAACUAGAACAAGUUCACUAAAUAAAGGUGAGGCCAACCACCAACCAAUAUUUAUACAAAAAUAAUCGCAUUCCACUCCGACCCUACCGAAUUCUUCAGGCCAUUAACCACCAUUGAAUAAACAGUACAGAAAAUCAUAAAGUAAUUAUGCUCUUAAACCGAAAAGAAAUCGAGAGUAAUUAAUAAUUAGUGCCAAGAUAUCAUUAAUAUUAUUUUUAAGGAUUCGGACGCGUAUAGUGAUAUAUUCUAUCAUUACGUCUCUCAGAUUCCGCAUCGAUUGGUGCGAGAUAUUCUAUCGUCAAUGUUUCUCGGACACUUUCUUGUUAAACCCAUUUACUACAACUAGGGAUUAAAUUUUUUGCCAAAUUACCAACCAUAUUAUACUAAAGUUCUGUAAAAAAAUUUGUAUCAUUGGUAAUGAUACGAUAUUUGUAUCGUACCAUACAUUUUUGGAAGAUAAUAGUAUUCAAAAUCAUUACCAAUUAUAUACCAUACUGUAACACUACUAUUAAUAUUAUAUAAUUUAUUUAUUCAUUUAUAUAUAUUUACGUAUUAUUAUAAUUAUAUAUGCACUUUAUAUUUUUUUUCCUAGUCAUUUAUCCAAUCAUCUCACAUUCUAACCUCUACUUUCCCAAUAAAAAAACAUAAGCCUUCUUACGCUGCGACUCUUCAUCUUUUCACUCAUCUAGCCACCGACUUCAUCUAUGUUGCUCUAGUUUCGGCGACUGUCUCUCCGGAGUCCACCUCAUCUUCUCCUUUAUCAAAUUGGGAUGUCUUUCUCCCUGGCUUUGUCUAUCAAGUUAAUUUUUGUUUAAUUUUAAAGAAUGUAAAGAUGAAAUUUAAGAAUCUUUGUACUAUUUUUUUAGGGAUAUUGGGUUCUUUGAGCAAUUCUUCCAUCUGUUUACUUCUUUGUUUCUUUAAUGAAUCUUUAUAAAAUUCUCAUAAUUAAAUAAAAAAGUUUUAGAAACCCAAAAGGAGUGACCCAAACACGUUUGGGCCUUGAAUUGGGUUGGAAAAAAAAUCAAAUUUUGGCCCAAAAGAAUGACCCAAAACAAAGUGGUAAUUACCAUUACCAUAUCAUGUCAACCGAACUAUUUGGCAUGCCGAAAUUUGGUAUAUCGAAAGUUUGGCACAGUAAUGAUAAUAGAUUUUAUCAUACCAAAAGUUUGGUACGGUAAUUGAUACAUGGGUUUUGGUACGAUAAUUGUACCAAUACCACCCCUAACUACAACUAUCCAAUCAAAGACUAAUCCCGUUUCAUGAGAGAAUUAUGACUAAUAUCAAUUUCACGAGAAAUUUUUCAAGGUGACAGGAACCCACAUAACCAUGGACACUUUAUGUAUCCAUUUAAUCGGAGGAUGUCACAUGCCUAACCGAAGAAUCUACCUAAUUUAUUUUUAAUGAAAUUACGCUGUCUGUUCUAUUAAUAAAUCCACAAGGUUUAUCUUUUAAAAUGUUAAUUAAAUUAGAACUAAAACAGAAAAAUAAAAAUAAAAAUCUCCAAUCCAAAUAACCCCGUCCCCGGCGAGACACACCACCCCCGAUCCCACCACCACCACCUCUGAUCCCGUUCAAAUCUGGUACCGCCACCACCUCCCUCUCUUGCUCUUCCUCAUAGACGAACAAUAACAGGCACAGUGGCAGACGUCGACGCUAUUCUACCCCUCCCCGAACCCAUGCGGACCAUCUUCCUCAUUGUCAUCUUCAUCAGCAUGAUUUUCAAGUUUUUCUUUGACGUGCUAUCUUUGCUUCUUGUUGGGUUUUUUUGUAAGAUGUAAUCUGAAAAUCAACAAGUUACUAGGAUUACAGAUAUAACAAAUAUAACUACAAUAAAUCAAUCAAACAAUUAAAGGGAAAUAAACUUAUCUUCCAAAGCAGAGGAAGAAGACGCUAUGACUGCUAGGGUUUCAUAGGUUGUCUUCUACUUCCAGUACUUCAAAAUGUCUCUCUACCGUGAAUAGGGUUUGGCAUGAUUGAGAGUACAAGCAUAUGGAAGCAGGAACUUAACUGUGGUAUUUAUAUCAUUAGGGUUUUCAUCACAUCCGACCUAUCAUUGGCUAUGAAGAUCUACCCUAUCUCUCUAGUAUUUAAGUCCCACCAUGAUACGAUACCUUUGUAAUAAAUCUAUCAGAUUUCCUCUAGGUUAAUUGCAAGGGACAAGACUCCAUAAUCCUUAUUAGGUUAGGACUAUCGGAUCACUUUGGUUGCUAACCACUCGAUAGACAAUUGGCUUACAACAAAAAGAUCCAAUACAACAUUCAUUGUCAUUCACAAUCUUAUAUUCUCCCACUUGAAUGUCAAUAAUUCAUCCUAACAAAAUAAGAACUCAUUGUGAUCACUGAGUCUUCAUAAGUAUGCAAUAACCUUUCCUAGCAACCUGUCACUUUGAAUCGAAUGCCGAACCAAAGAAAAACAAAGAACAACUUGGUCUGUUCCUUGCACUCCAAGAUCACAUACACAUUCAACUUAAAGCACUUUGUUGCUAACAAAGUCAUGGUGUCAAGAGCUAAUAGUCAAAACAUUAGCUCACAAUAGUCAAACUGAAAAUAUGAAAAUAUAUUUCAGUACAAAAGUAGUUCACAAAAGAACUCAACAACGUUGGUAACAACAUCCAACUUCUCUGUCAAUUUAGAAUAUGAUAAGAGAACAAGUAAAAUAUGACAUACUAUUUACAAAAUCAGAACCUCUUAUUAAAACUUAUGAACAAAACUUAAACAAAAUUUACUCUUAAAAUAUCAGCCACUAACACUUCAAAAUUUUAACACAAAAGGUAAUCUCUUACUCCCACUGAUUAGUAGAGAUAAACAAAUUAUUACUCCCACUGAUUAAGAGAGUAAAAAAAACUUUAUAAAUGCCUAUAAAAUGAAACUGACACCUUUCAAAUACUCCCAUUAGCAAAACAUUAGUCAUGGGAUCUAAAACAUAAAAUUUGUGAGCUCAACAUCUUUAUUUUAGAUAUUUGUAGGGAAGUGAUUCUCGUGACUGAAAAACUAUACAAAAUUAUUUGGUCAGUUUUGUUCAUCUAACAAUUGACAGAAAUAGAAAACUUUAACUGAAUGUUUUCUAAUGCAUCAAAAGCAUAUAAUUCUAGAAUCAUCUUUGGAUAGAAACUAAUUAUAUUAGGUUUGUAUAGCUAAAACAUAAAAUACAAGGGCAAAUGUAUAUAGCUUCAACACUUUUGAGCAGAUGAAGUAUAUGCAAUCUUGUCAAUUUCAUGUUUCACCAUACAUUGAUUUAUAGUUGUACUGAAAAAGAAAACACUUUUGAGCAGAUUAAUUAUUCAUCAAUAACAUAUAAAUCACAAGUCCAAUUUCUUGAACAACAUACAAGAAUUAAUAAGCAAAACACUUUUGAGCAGAAUAUACUCAUUAACCCUUCUUGAAUUUCCUACAAGAUUAGUUGCAUAUAUAACAAAUAAAAUAUAAAUAAGUAUGAUAAUGUACGUUUUAUCUACCAAAACUAUGACCAUUAAAAGCAUGCAAAAUUGAUGAGUGUGAAGCCCAUAAUACAUUAUUUCUCCCACUUGGGCAAACACUCAAAAUUGCAAGAUUAAACACUAGAGAAAGUGAUUUUCAUUUAACAAAAUAUAUGCAAGUUGAAUCAAUCAAGAUCAAAUACAUAAUUUUUUUUUUUAAAGUAGGUUAGAAUUAAAAAGUUCCAUAAAUAAAAACUUAUGCAAUGACUACAAAUUUUAUUUUAUUUUAGUGUAUGAGAGAAGACUCACAUAUGUGUUAAAGAUUAGGUCAUCAAUUAAAAUGAAACCUAAUAAGAGAAUCUGUUGAUGCACAAAUAUCAGCGAGGACUUUGGUACAACAGAAAGUGUCAGGUUGUGACCUUCGCUUGGUUGCUUCGAUCACUUUUGAAGAUAAGUACGUAAAUGAAUAGGGACAGGGAAGCAAACACAAGAUGUACGUGGUUCACCCAGAUCGGCUACGUCCACGGAGUAGAGGAGUUCUCAUCUACGAUGCAUGGACACGGGGAAAACUCAACGUAUCCCGUAUCUGACACGCAGGGAUACGGAUACGUACAAAAUACGUAUGGAUACGCGCCCGAUACGUAUCGGAACGAAGGUAUACGUUCUUUAUUACCAAGAUACGCGUAUCAUAUUGUCGAGAUACGCGUAUCAUAUUUUUCGGAUACGUUUCAAGCAAAAUCAGAGGAUAAUCAGAAAAAAAAUCCAAUAGAUCCGCACAGAAUCGUGAUUGAUUCGAAUUAGAUAACUUAAACGAUUGUUUAACUAAAAACCAAAACGAUUUCGAACCUCAGAAAUCAGACUCAUCUGCAAUUGCUCCGUCCGUCCGUCGUCUCUAUCGUCUCCGUCUGCAACUGCUCCAUCGUCUCCAUCGUCUCCGUCUGCAACUCCUGGUGAGAGCCUUCGACUUUGUUUUCACUUUGUUAAUUUUGAAGCUCAAUCUGAUUGCAGAACCCCUCUGAAAUUGAAAGAAACAUGCUGCUCUGUUUUUAUUCGAAGCUAAAAGCCCCAUUUCUGCUUUAAGCCAUUGACUAAUUCAAUGUAUCUGUUAUGCAAAAUUGAAAAAGCCAAAACCCAAUUUUGCUUUCUGUAUAAUAUAUUAUUUUGAUCUUCGAAGAUCAAUCAAUGGGGUCAGAUGGUGUGCAAUCAGUAAUCACUUAUCUGUUAUACAAAAUAAUAUUAUAUACAAAAUACUCGUGCCCACUUUUGCUUUCUGUAUAUAAUAUUAUUUUGUAUUUUGUAUAUUAUAAAUAAUAUACUAUUGUGCUUUCAUGAUAUUUAGAUUAUAAUAUUUUAUGGAUUUCAUGAUGUAUUUUUUAAUCUCUUAAGUUAAUAUAAAUUUCUCGUGUAAUAGUCUCUGUCUAUACAGUGGAUUGACUCUUAUUGUUUAUAUAUUUGAUUCUUACAAUUUACAUGUUGAUAAUUUAGGAAAAUGAAUCAUCCUGAUAAUCAUGCGAAUGCUAAUGUCAACCUAGUUGAGAAUGUUGAAAAUGAUCAUGGUACACUAUGGAAGUAUGUCAAAAAGCUCGAAAGAGUGGAAAAUGGAAGAGGAGGUAGUGUGUUUCAAUGCAACUAUUGUCAAAAGAUUUUCAGAGGAUCUUACUCUAGGGUCAAGUUUCAUUUGUUAAAAGUGUCUGGAAAUGGGAUCGUCUCUUGCAAUAAGGUUACUGAUGAAGCUCUUGCAGAAAUGAAAAAGCUAGCUCAAGAAUGAGGGACUCUUUCUUUUUAUUUUUUAAGUCGUUUGGAUGUUCUUUUUAGUUUUUCAAGUUUGAAGACUAAUUUGUUUAGUGGAUUAUCUUUUAAAUGUUUGAAGUUUAUCGAAAUAAAUUUGAACUUGAAUAGUAUAUUUGAAUGCUUAUUUUAUAAUAUUUAGAUAUAUUUAUUUAUUUAUAUUAUUUUUAAUUGCCGUAUCCUUGCCGUAUCGUGUCUUCAUUUUUAGAAAUUUGACGUAUCCCCGUGUCGUGUCGUAUCGUAUCUCCGUAUCCGUGUCCGUGUCCAUGCAUCAUAGGUUCUCAUUAAUUGUGAAGGGUUUACACAAAUACAUAGGUUCAAGCUCUCAUUUUGUGAGUUCUAGUGAAUAGUUUAGUACAAAAUGACAUUAGAGAUUAUUGUGGGAGAAUGAUCCCUAUUUAUAGAAGAGAGUUUCUAGUUUUGUUCUAACAUUGACACGUGUUGUGUUGUGAUUGGCUUCUGAUGUUGACACAUGUCGAGCUGUGAUUGGCUUCUGAUGUCGACACGUGUCGCAUUGUGAUUGGCCUCCUGGUUGAAGGGAAGCUCUUCUGGUCCUUGACGGUAUAACGUUGACCGGUGCUCAGUAGUUUCGGGAUUGGUCAAGUAUGGUACAAACAAAAUCCAAACUCAAAAUUUAUGUUUUAAUUCUAAAACAAAGUCGAGUAAAAUAAACACUUAGAUAUCUCAACAACAACAAUUUUUUUUUUUUAAUAAUUUUAAUCCAAUUUAGAACUCACAGAAAAUUAAGGCAAAAGAUUGGCAAAUUUACCUACUCAUUCUUGAUUCUGCGAGAUUCAUCAUGGAAUUAGUCGAGUUGUGGAGGAUCGAACCAACUCCAAAUUGCAUGAUUGUUACACCUUCGGGCAGAAACUAAUCAUGCAAAGAAAAUACCUGCAUAGCUAGCCAAAACAUAAAAUACACAAAAUACAUAUAGCUUCAACAGCUUUGGCCAGAUGAAAAUAUGUUAGAAGUACUUUAUGAUAUAAUACUAUUUUAUAAUUGGUGAGUGAUUUCCUGAAAUUCCCAUUGGGACAAAAGUAUUCACCAUAUAAAUUAGAAUUCUGAUUUUUCAAAAUAAUCCUUUAGAACAGUAUUAAAUAACCGUUUUGUUGGAUAUUCAAUGAUUCUCAAAAGAUUCAAUCAGACACAAAAGUAUGUCAUUAUUGACAUUGAACAAUAGAGUUCUCGAAAGAGGAAACAUGGUUAUUCAGGUAUUCGAUAGAGACCAAAAUGAUCAAUUAGUAAACUAAUGCCACUUUCCAAUUUUCUCUCAAAAGACAAUCAUCAUAAUCAGAAUUGAUGACCAAACAAAACAUUGGUUUAAGCAAAACAAACCAAUACAUCUUUAAAUCAAAAUUUAAUCAGUGUUGUCUAUAUAAAAUUCAUUAGUAUUGAGAAUUUGCAUAUAAUAAGGACAUAUCGGAACCAUAACCUUGUAUAAUAAUCGGUACCAAUAGAUGUGCACAAAUUAGUGAAACAAUAUCACAUAACAAAACUAGUUUUGAAGUACCAAAAUUCAGCAGUACUACUUUAGUUUGCAAAUUCACUAAAAACUCAAUUCUCUUUAGAUUGUCCUGAAAAUUUUCAAGUAUGAACUAGACAUAUAUGACUACUAUUUCGAAAAAUUUCAUGAUUUUUAAAAUCUUAUAAGUGAGCCAAAAAUGAAUUCGAAAAGAGAGGUGCUACAGCAUUAAUAUGUGUAUUUGAUAUAUCAAAAUCUCCUUUUUAAGAUAAGAAAACAAUUUAAAAAUGACACCAAAAUGGCCACGGCAUUAAUAUGUGUAUUUGAGAAAUUUCCCAAAAGCACUUGAGUCUCAACUUUGCAAUUUUAUGUUUGAAGAUAAAAGUCACAAAGGACAAACGUAGCAAACAUAAAUUGUAAUAUUAUAUAUAUUAUAUUAAACGAAGGAUAAAUUAGACUUAUUAAUCCAACAACUCAUAUUUGAUUUUAGAAAAGAAAGUCUCAACAUUAAUUGGUCCCAACCAUCAGUCAUAGAAGCAUAAGAGAAAAUCAAAAGUUACCAAAUUCUUAUUCCUGAAGAGGGAUGCUUCCAGGCAUAACGAUAGAUGGAAGCGUAAAUCAACUUAAUUAAUAUGUAUGGGAAAGUUAGUUUGCAAAGCAGUUGGACUUUAUAUUCAAAUUAGUUUAACUAAUCAACUAACACACCAAAGUGGCCAUACCAUUAUUCUUGUAAACCAUUACUCAAAAAUAUGCAGCAAACUGGAAUAAAUGAAAUUAAAUGCAAUUGAGGAAAAUCCUCAAAGCCUCAUUCUAGGCAUUAGGAAUGAAGGCCGAGAAAACAUAAAAUGUGAACAUGAUAUAAGAUCACAAUGGCUCACUCAAGUUAUCUCCUAAUGGCAAGUGAUUCACAUUGAAAAAUCUUCGAAAACAACCAAAAUUUUAAACCUGAUCAUUGACACGGUGCGCUAGGAGAAAGAAGCAUGCAAAAUAAUUAUUAACUUAAAAUGGGAUUCCAAAACAAGGAACCCUAACCACUGCCCAGGAGCAACACAAAUGCCAACCAAGCGGAUCAAAACCAAUCUUGAUAUUAAUCAUGUUAAAAAAAAAUAACAAUAGUUAAAUUAUUUAUAUGCAUAUGUGCCAAGCCUUCGAACUUUAAAUCCAAUGCAAAAUUAUAUAUAUAUAUAUAUAUAUUUGAGGUAUAGCCAUAUAUAAAGCAAUCAAAUUUGCUUCUUAAUUAAUCAUUAUCUCGACAUGGCUAAGAAAACUUAUCGUUAAGUUUUCCCAUGAAAGCCAAAACAAAACCUUUUUUUGAUAAUUACAUGAGAAUCAUGAAGUUAGAAAAGUAAUUAUAAAAAUACUCUAAAAUUAAGCGGAAGCCUCAGGAUCGAUAAGUAAAAGACCUUUAACUAAAACACAAACUAAUUGUGCCUUCAGUUUGUCAAAAAUUUGUUCAAACAGAUUACCUUUAAUCCGAACCCUCAAGCUUUGCAAAUUUCUUGGCAGAUUUGUAUCUACAGACAAAAUAAUACAACUACACGCAGAAGUAAUUUCUGCAAAUGGGUCAAAUUAAAAAUAAUAAUAAUAACAUCUAAAUAAUUAUUUGCAAAGCCAAUAUGAUAAUCAAUCCACAUAUUGAAUUAUCAGCAAUUAAAUCAAUGAAUCGUAUUAUUUGCAGAAGCUUUACACAUUGUAAAGGAUAAAAGUGAUGGCAUGAUACGUUACCAUUAUAUUCAAAACCAACCAUGAUCGAAAUUCUGAAUCUUAGACGAGUUGAGUGGCUCUGAUACCACAUGUAAGAUGUAAUAUGAAAAUCAACAAGUUACUAAGAUUACAGAUAUAACAAAUAUACUACAAUAAACCAAUCAAACAAUUAAAGGGAAAUAAACUUAUCUUCCAAAGCAGAGGAAGAAGACGCCAUGACUGCUAGGGUUUCACAGGUUGUCUUCUACUUCCAAUACUUCAAAAUGUCUCUCUACUGUGAAUAGGGUUUGGCGUGAUUGAGAGUACAAGUGUAUGGAAGCAGGGACUUAACCAUGGUAUUUAUAUCAUUAGGGUUUUCAUCACAUCCGACCUAUCAUUGGCUGUACCAAUCUACCCUAUCUCUCUAGUAUUUAAGUCCCACCAUGAUACGAUAUCUUUGUAAUAAAUCUAUCAGAUUUCCUCUAGGUUAAUUGCAAGGGAUAAGACUCCAUAAUCCUUAUUAGGUUAGGACUAUCGGAUCACUUUGGUUGCUAACCACUCGAUAGACUAUUGGCUUACAACAAAAAGAUCCAAUACAACAUUCAUUGUCAUUCACAGUCUUACAUUUUUCUGAUAGGGCAUGAACUUGCAAGGCAGACGAGCACAGGAGUCGACUCAUUGAGUUAAUGGCGGCACGAGUUAGAGAUUGUAGUGGGGAAGACGGAUGAAAUAGAAUUUGGGAGGAGCGGGGAAGACAGAUCGGCCGCCAGGGAGGGGCGCUGUCAUUGUGGGUUGUUGGCUCGACUGUCGAGAUUUCUAUUAUUUAGUUUUAUAUUUUAUUUAAUUGAUUUUCUUAAAAAUUAAAUCAGGUAGACUUUAGUGGGGCACGUGACAUCCUCCGAUUAGAUGGGUAAACAAAGUGUCUAUUGUCACAUACAAGUAUAUGGAUUAUGAUGAUCUCCCAUUCUCUUUCCAUUCCCUUCCAUCAUUCUUUUCAUAUUCUCUAUUUUGUCUUUCUCUUUCUAUAAAAAUAAUAAUAAUAAUAAUAUAAGAUGUUGAUGUGGCUUAACCGUGACCAUUCAAAUAAGAGGGGAGGGUAAAAAAAAGGGAGUAUUUUUGCUCAUCACCAUUUAGUGUGGUAUAUGCUCACCACUUUAUUUAUCACUAUUAGAUGAGUUUGAAUUUCGAAUUGGUGUAGUAGAUAGGUAUAAAUCUCGAAAUUCAAACUUAUCUAAUGGUGAUAAAUAAAGUGGUGAGCAUAAACCACACUAAAUGAUGGUGAGAAAAAAUGCAUUCUAAAAAAAAGAGGGGAGAGAAUCCUUCUCCCAAGUAUAUACCACCAAUGGUGCAAAGGAGAAAGGACAAUGUGAGGAAAGCUAAAAUUUUAAAUUAAAUUUACAAAUUAAAUAAUGUGUAACAAAAAAAAAAAUUAAUGUGCUUGAAACACAAAGUUGUACACCAUGUGUCUCUAACAAGUGGUGAGAUUCUUGUGUUGAAAAAAUAAUAACAUAAAACAUAAAAUUUCCCACCACUUAUAUAAUAACACGUGUACCACUUGCAUUACGGGCAUAAGGAAAAAUUGCUAGUGUCACCAAUAGGUGCACGUUAAUCAAUACUUACAUAAUAAUUUAAUCAUCAACUACAUCGUUUGGUUUAAAAAUUUAGUAUCCUUAACAUUAUCCAAAGAGAAAUGCUAAGAGACUCAAAGGGUGAGAUUCUGCAAUUUCACGGUUUGAUGUUGAUUUGCAUGUCAAUGUAUAAAACAAUGUUGAUCCAAUCACACACAAGUAUAUACCACCAACGGUACAACUAAGGAGAAGUUUCGAACGAUCCCGCUACAUCAGGACCCUUUUAGAGCAUGUUUACGUACACGUAAUGGGAAUCAAAACAUGAAAUUAUAUUCCGAUUACGGACCAUUUCUAUGUUUACUAAAUUUUAAGGAAUCAAAAAUAUAGUGGGACCCACACAAAGUUUGGAAUUCAAUUCCUCACUUUGGAGGAAUUGGAUCCCUUGAUAGUAAGUGGUAUUUGAGUUUCGGAAGAAUGAGGGAAUGGGGAAUCCAUUUUUCAUACCCAUAAUGCCCUCACAUAAUUGCUGAAAUUCCAAUGAUAAAACAAGCACAGGUGCCCAGCGCUAGUCUGUUUCCUUCUCCCUCACUACCGCCCCCUUCCUGUCUUCCCAAGGCCACAUACCCACCAUCAUCUUCUUAGACAACAACGACAGCCAUAAAACAAGAAUAAGCGAAAGCUGAAGAAGAACCCAUUUUAGUUUUUUUUUAUUUUAAACAAUGCUAAAAACCAAACUCCGGACAUUCAAUCAACAUGAAAUACCCCGUAAACUAAACUUCAAAGAAAUUACAUCACCACAACCAACACUUCCCAUAGGCCUCAAACCAACCGUGAAUUUCAAAUUGUUGAAAGAUGAUUGAGGCAGAGAUAGAGAGAACGGUUGGGUUGGGGUUUGGGUUAGUUUUUUAUUUUUAAUUUUAUAUCAAUUGACUUGAUUUCCUGUAAGUUUUUAUAAAAUAUUUAUUUAUAAUAAAAGACAUUCUAGUAAUCAUACAAAUUUUCAUUCCGAUCAAGUGAAUUAGUAAACAACUUACAUUCAAACAAGACCAUUUAUACUCUGAUUCCAGAUUUAAUGGAAAUCUGGAUUUCAAUUCUCCUCAAUUCAAUUCAAUUCCCCCUCAAUCCAAUUCUGUCUAUUUUGAUUAAGGAUUAAUAAACGAACCCUUAAUGUUGAACAAAAGUCAGUACUUUACAUUAAGCUAGAACUAAAAAGGCUACUCCUAGUAGAAGUGACAGAAUUAUUGUUGAGUACGUAGCAAAAUUAUUAAGCAUUUGAGCUAGAACUGUUCGUACAUUUUUUAUCUGGCCUGGUCGAGCAGUGGUACAGCUACAGAGUACUAAUUUAUAUGCCUAACGUUAUAAAACUACAAUAAUAUUUCUCAAUUAUUUUAUAAUUUAAUUUGUUGACACUUCUCAACUGAAUUAUGAAAGCACCGCCGCGAGCCCAGGGACAAGAUACCUCGAGUCCUGACGCAUUCAGGUAUUGUCGCAUAGAUAAUCAUAAGUAAAGUUCCACCAGAGAGAACCAAAUUUGACGAGUUCAGCGGCUUAUACUUUUAUGGGUAUUUGUAGUAUGAUUUUCUUAGAUUUAUUAUUUACAUUAAACGUAUUCGUUUAAAUUUUUUAGAUUAGUGACCGAUUAAAUAUUCAAAUUUCAACUCAAAUCAGAGAUAUAUGAGAACGAACAACUUUUUCUCAAACACCAUUUUUUGUUCUUUGGGAACCAAAAUACAUGGAAAAGUAAAGAUAGGAGCAGCUUCAUCGAUCAAAAUUAUCGAGCACAAACACACACACCAAUACCAUCGAACUACCCGGAAACCAGAACCAGAACAGACCAUGACCCUAAAACACAACCAGAAAACGUUAACACUAACAUCUCAAAGUCCCAAACCACCUAUAACACUAAUCUAACUCCUCCAGCUGCCGCCUUCAGCGCCACCACCUCCUCUGGAGUAGCGAGCACCGCCACCUUCACCGCCUCCAUAGCCACC
Molecule: long non-coding RNA, 18817 nt
Filed under: Malus domestica (apple)
Lineage: Eukaryota; Viridiplantae; Streptophyta; Magnoliopsida; Rosales; Rosaceae
Description: long non-coding RNA (MDOM_LNC009157)
Source: RNAcentral